This 254-nucleotide ribosomal RNA is filed under the name uncultured bacterium. RNAcentral describes it as "partial 16S ribosomal RNA". It matches the Rfam family "Bacterial small subunit ribosomal RNA", at positions 524 to 776 of the family's 1533-position model. The record is from RNAcentral.
UACGAAGGGGGCGAGCGUUGUUCGGAUUUACUGGGCGUAAAGGGCGCGACAGGCGGCUCAUUUUGUCAGGCGUGAAAGCCCCGGGCUUAACCUGGGAACUGCGUUUGAUACGGAUGGGCUAGAGUUCGGGAGAGGAGAGUGGAAUUCCCAGUGUAGAGGUGAAAUUCGUAGAUAUUGGGAAGAACACCGGUGGCGAAGGCGGGUCUCUGGGCCGAUACUGACGCUGAGGAGCGAAAGCGUGGGGAGCGAACAGG